Molecule: ribosomal RNA, 464 nt
Filed under: uncultured Acidobacteriota bacterium
Lineage: Bacteria; Pseudomonadati; Acidobacteriota
Description: bacterial SSU rRNA
Rfam family: Bacterial small subunit ribosomal RNA
Source: RNAcentral
CCUACGGGGGGCUGCAGUGGGGAAUUUUUCGCAAUGGGCGCAAGCCUGACGACGCAACGCCGCGUGGAGGAUGAAGGUCUUCGGAUUGUAAACUCCUGUUGAUCGGGACGAAAAGCUUCAACCUAAUACGUUGAAGACUGACGGUACCGGUUGAGGAAGCCACGGCUAACUCUGUGCCAGCAGCCGCGGUAAUACAGAGGUGGCAAGCGUUGUUCGGAAUUACUGGGCGUAAAGGGCGCGUAGGCGGCCUUCUAAGUCGGACGUGAAAGCCCCAGGCUUAACCUGGGAACUGCGUCUGAUACUGGGAGGCUUGGAUUCGGGAGAGGGAUGUGGAAUUCCAGGUGUAGCGGUGAAAUGCGUAGAUAUCUGGAGGAACACCGGUGGCGAAGGCGGCAUCCUGGACCGAGAUCGACGCUGAGGCGCGAAAGCUAGGGGAGCAAACGGGAUUAGAUACCCCAGUAGUC